GUGGGGAAUAUUGGACAAUGGGGGGAACCCUGAUCCAGCCAUGCCGCGUGUGUGAAGAAGGCCUUUUGGUUGUAAAGCACUUUAAGCGAGGAGGAGGCUACCGAGAUUAAUACUCUUGGAUAGUGGACGUUACUCGCAGAAUAAGCACCGGCUAACUCUGUGCCAGCAGCCGCGGUAAUACAGAGGGUGCAAGCGUUAAUCGGAUUUACUGGGCGUAAAGCGCGCGUAGGUGGCCAAUUAAGUCAAAUGUGAAAUCCCCGAGCUUAACUUGGGAAUUGCAUUCGAUACUGGUUGGCUAGAGUAUGGGAGAGGAUGGUAGAAUUCCAGGUGUAGCGGUGAAAUGCGUAGAGAUCUGGAGGAAUACCGAUGGCGAAGGCAGCCAUCUGACCUAAUACUGACACUGAGGUGCGAAAGCAUGGGGAGCAAACAGGAUUAGAUACCCCAGUAGUCC
RNAcentral lists this ribosomal RNA (451 nucleotides) under uncultured bacterium. Its description in RNAcentral is "partial 16S ribosomal RNA". It matches the Rfam family "Bacterial small subunit ribosomal RNA", at positions 354 to 796 of the family's 1533-position model. The record is from RNAcentral.